CUUGCUUCUCUUGAGAGCGGCGGACGGGUGAGUAAUGCCUAGGAAUCUGCCUGGUAGUGGGGGAUAACGUUCGGAAACGGACGCUAAUACCGCAUACGUCCUACGGGAGAAAGCAGGGGACCUUCGGGCCUUGCGCUAUCAGAUGAGCCUAGGUCGGAUUAGCUAGUUGGUGGGGUAAUGGCUCACCAAGGCGACGAUCCGUAACUGGUCUGAGAGGAUGAUCAGUCACACUGGAACUGAGACACGGUCCAGACUCCUACGGGAGGCAGCAGUGGGGAAUAUUGGACAAUGGGCGAAAGCCUGAUCCAGCCAUGCCGCGUGUGUGAAGAAGGUCUUCGGAUUGUAAAGCACUUUAAGUUGGGAGGAAGGGUUGUAGAUUAAUACUCUGCAAUUUUGACGUUACCGACAGAAUAAGCACCGGCUAACUCUGUGCCAGCAGCCGCGGUAAUACAGAGGGUGCAAGCGUUAAUCGGAAUUACUGGGCGUAAAGCGCGCGUAGGUGGUUUGUUAAGUUGGAUGUGAAAUCCCCGGGCUCAACCUGGGAACUGCAUUCAAAACUGACUGACUAGAGUAUGGUAGAGGGUGGUGGAAUUUCCUGUGUAGCGGUGA
This 609-nucleotide ribosomal RNA is filed under the name uncultured bacterium. Its description in RNAcentral is "bacterial SSU rRNA". It matches the Rfam family "Bacterial small subunit ribosomal RNA", at positions 79 to 684 of the family's 1533-position model. The record is from RNAcentral.